AGUGAACGCUGGCGGUAGGCCUAACACAUGCAAGUCGAACGGCAGCACAGUAAGAGCUUGCUCUUACGGGUGGCGAGUGGCGGACGGGUGAGGAAUACAUCGGAAUCUACUUUUUCGUGGGGGAUAACGUCGGGAAACUUACGCUAAUACCGCAUACGACCUACGGGUGAAAGCAGGGGAUCUUCGGACCUUGCGCGAUUGAAUGAGCCGAUGUCGGAAUAGCUAGUUGGCGGGGUAAAGGCCCACCAAGGCGACGAUCCGUAGCUGGUCUGAGAGGAUGAUCAGCCACACUGGAACUGAGACACGGCCCAGACUCCUACGGGAGGCAGCAGUGGGGAAUAUUGGACAAUGGGCGCAAGCCUGAUCCAGCCAUACCGCGUGGGUGAAGAAGGCCUUCGGGUUGUAAAGCCCUUUUGUUGGGAAAGAAAAGCAGCAGGUUAAUACCCCGCUGUUCUGACGGUACCCAAAGAAUAAGCACCGGCUAACUUCGUG
Molecule: ribosomal RNA, 492 nt
Filed under: uncultured bacterium
Lineage: Bacteria
Description: partial 16S ribosomal RNA
Rfam family: Bacterial small subunit ribosomal RNA
Source: RNAcentral